UUGGGCUACACAUGUUUGGCUAUUCUGGCAGCUGGCUUGUGUUUCGUGGUGAGCGGGACAGGGCUGGUGCUGGGACCCCUCUGUUUACACAACAGCACUGAUGGCCUAAAGUGGGGACGGCCAUUAAAACAAGUCAAAACUGGAGAGCAGCUUUACCUCUAUGCUCCGGAGCGGUGGCCAUCUGCCUGUGUGGAGCCUCGACGUGUUGUGGUCUGGAAUAUGGCUCUUUUCUCUGUCCUCAUGGCAGCGAGUGGCCUUCAGCUCAUUUUCUGCAUUCUUCAUCUCCUCAUCGCCUUACUGGAGUUCAUGUGCAGACCCAGCUUCUGCAAGAAUAAGGUUGUUCCUGCUUGAAAUGACUAGAGGUUCUAUUUAUUUCCUCUCCAUGUGAGAAUGAGAAGGACUUUUUUGGGGUUAAAAAGCCAGCUAUGACUGCUUAACUUACUUUAAACAGAGAGAGAGAGAGAGAGAGAGAGAGAGAGAGAGA
Molecule: long non-coding RNA, 484 nt
Organism: Cyprinus carpio carpio
Lineage: Eukaryota; Metazoa; Chordata; Actinopteri; Cypriniformes; Cyprinidae
Source: Ensembl